Long non-coding RNA from Microcebus murinus (gray mouse lemur), 1061 nucleotides. RefSeq lists it as uncharacterized. The record is from RefSeq and is a predicted model, not a curated record. Lineage: Eukaryota; Metazoa; Chordata; Mammalia; Primates; Cheirogaleidae.
AACACAAACAAAAAAACCCAAGUGACUGCAUUUUAAUUUUAUCUCUUGGGUGUGUGAUGGUUACUUUUUUAUCUUCGAAAGGAAAAAUAUUUCUUUCAUUCUUCAAUAAUCACAGUGACUUAAUAGUGGGAUGCGUGUGCCUGUUGGGCACUGCACAAUGUCUCAAACUUCAGAAUUAAACUGAACCAUGCCAUCCUCCCUUCCUCAUCCUCAUUGUUUCUACUUGCAUUUCUUCACAGCAACCACCUGCAACCAAGCAUCCGGAAGAUACGAUGUCAGCGAAGAAAGUGUAGAGAGAUUUAAUGUUGAACCUGUUGAAGCUGGUAAUUCAGUAAAUACGAAUUACAGCUUUCAUUGAAUGAUUAUGGAGAAAUGAGAAUGAGACCAAAUGGAGCGUUGUUUUCCUUGGCAACUUUCCUCCCCACCAGUCUGUCUGCAACAAUCACGGACAACUUAGCAUCACGAAGAUAGGAAGGCAACGUGGUGAGGUCUGCCGCUCGGCUGUGGUGUGCUGGCAGUUCACGAGGCGUGGCUGCCACGCUGGCCUGCUGCUCUCCAUCUCCUUGUCUGGGCACCUCUGCGGCGGCGGAGAGGACAGCAGGAAUGCAGCACGUUUUCACUGGAGGGGAGAGAAUGGGGGAGCUGGUCUGGGUGCCAAGCAACACUCGUGUCCUUGGAGACCAGGCAUCAUGGAAUGAGAGAGAAAAGGCAGUGGGGGAGGGGCAGCUCAUCCCCAGCCAAAUGCAUUUUUCAGGACUAAGGGAAGGGAUGUCCCACAGUGUCUUUAAUUGAUAACCUCUUACGUGAAAUCCAGAGGGCCUCCAUGUAUAACUUCAUGUCUAUUGUUUGUGUGUCUCAGGCCAGCAGUUCCCAAAGUGCAGUUCCAGGACCUCCGGAGGCCAUUAAGACCCUUUCAAGGCAUCCACGUCUUCUAAACUUUUUUCUAAAAACGAUACAUUUUUAUUCACGUAUUUCUCGUUUUCUCUGCGUGAUAUGAUGUUGCGAGUGUCUGAAUUAAGAAUCAGAAUAUACAGGCCAUGUCUCUCCGAUUACAAAAGACA